CAGUUGAGCGCUGAAGGUUGGUACUUGUACCGACUGGAUGAGCAGCGAACGGGUGAGUAACGCGUGGGGAAUCUGCCUUUGAGCGGGGGACAACAUUUGGAAACGAAUGCUAAUACCGCAUAACAACUUUAAACACAAGUUUUAAGUUUGAAAGAUGCAAUUGCAUCACUCAAAGAUGAUCCCGCGUUGUAUUAGCUAGUUGGUGAGGUAAAGGCUCACCAAGGCGAUGAUACAUAGCCGACCUGAGAGGGUGAUCGGCCACAUUGGGACUGAGACACGGCCCAAACUCCUACGGGAGGCAGCAGUAGGGAAUCUUCGGCAAUGGACGAAAGUCUGACCGAGCAACGCCGCGUGAGUGAAGAAGGUUUUCGGAUCGUAAGACUCUGUUGGUAGAGAAGAACGUUGGUGAGAGUGGAAAGCUCAUCAAGUGACGGUAACUACCCAGAAAGGGACGGCUAACUACGUGCCAGCAGCCGCGGUAAUACGUAGGUCCCGAGCGUUGUCCGGAUUUAUUGGGCGUAAAGCGAGCGCAGGUGGUUUAUUAAGUCUGGUGUAAAAGGCAGUGGCUCAACCAUUGUAUGCAUUGGAAACUGGUAGACUUGAGUGCAGGAGAGGAGAGUGGAAUUCCAUGUGUAGCGGUGAAAUGCGUAGAUAUAUGGAGGAACACCGGUGGCGAAAGCGGCUCUCUGGCCUGUAACUGACACUGAGGCUCGAAAGCGUGGGGAGCAAACAGGAUUAGAUACCCUGGUAGUCCACGCCGUAAACGAUGAGUGCUAGAUGUAGGGAGCUAUAAGUUCUCUGUAUCGC
RNAcentral lists this ribosomal RNA (807 nucleotides) under uncultured bacterium. Its description in RNAcentral is "bacterial SSU rRNA". It matches the Rfam family "Bacterial small subunit ribosomal RNA", at positions 59 to 849 of the family's 1533-position model. The record is from RNAcentral.